RNAcentral lists this ribosomal RNA (688 nucleotides) under Salmonella enterica. RNAcentral describes it as "partial 23S ribosomal RNA". It matches the Rfam family "Bacterial large subunit ribosomal RNA", at positions 1 to 719 of the family's 2925-position model. Lineage: Bacteria; Pseudomonadati; Pseudomonadota; Gammaproteobacteria; Enterobacterales; Enterobacteriaceae. The record is from RNAcentral.
GGGUUGUGAGGUUAAGCGACCAAGCGUACACGGUGGAUGCCCUGGCAGUCAGAGGCGAUGAAGGACGUGCUAAUCUGCGAAAAGCGCCGGUAAGGUGAUAUGAACCGUUAUAACCGGCGAUGUCCGAAUGGGGAAACCCAGUGUGACUCGUCACACUAUCAUUAACUGAAUCCAUAGGUUAAUGAGGCGAACCGGGGGAACUGAAACAUCUAAGUACCCCGAGGAAAAGAAAUCAACCGAGAUUCCCCCAGUAGCGGCGAGCGAACGGGGAGGAGCCCAGAGCCUGAAUCAGCAUGUGUGUUAGUGGAAGCGUCUGGAAAGGCGCGCGAUACAGGGUGAGAGCCCCGUACACAAAAGCGCACAUACUGUGAGCUCGAUGAGUAGGGCGGGACACGUGGUAUCCUGUCUGAAUAUGGGGGGACCAUCCUCCAAGGCUAAAUACUCCUGACUGACCGAUAGUGAACCAGUACCGUGAGGGAAAGGCGAAAAGAACCCCGGCGAGGGGAGUGAAACAGAACCUGAAACCGUGUACGUACAAGCAGUGGGAGCCUCUCUUUAUGGGGGGUGACUGCGUACCUUUUGUAUAAUGGGUCAGCGACUUAUAUUCUGUAGCAAGGUUAACCGCAUAGGGGAGCCGAAGGGAAACCGAGUCUUAAUUGGGCGUUAAGUUGCAGGGUAUAGACCCGAA